This 253-nucleotide ribosomal RNA is filed under the name uncultured bacterium. RNAcentral describes it as "partial 16S ribosomal RNA". It matches the Rfam family "Bacterial small subunit ribosomal RNA", at positions 524 to 776 of the family's 1533-position model. The record is from RNAcentral.
UACGUAGGGUGCAAGCGUUGUCCGGAAUUAUUGGGCGUAAAGAGCUCGUAGGCGGUUUGUCGCGUCUGCUGUGAAAACUGGAGGCUCAACCUCCAGCCUGCAGUGGGUACGGGCAGACUAGAGUGCGGUAGGGGAGAUUGGAAUUCCUGGUGUAGCGGUGGAAUGCGCAGAUAUCAGGAGGAACACCGAUGGCGAAGGCAGAUCUCUGGGCCGUAACUGACGCUGAGGAGCGAAAGCAUGGGGAGCAAACAGG